CCGGCGACCGGCGGCACGGUGAGUAACACGUAUGCAACCUGGCCGUGACAGAUGGAUAACCGGGAGAAAUCCCGCCUAAUACAGCAGUGACGCCGGGAAGGGACAUCCCUUUCCGGCCAAAGGGGGCGACUCCGGUCACGGAUGGGCAUGCGGCGCAUUAGGUAGUUGGUGGGGCAACGGCCCACCAAGCCGACGAUGCGUAGGGGUUCUGAGAGGAAGGUCCCCCACAUUGGAACUGAGACACGGUCCAAACUCCUACGGGAGGCAGCAG
Molecule: ribosomal RNA, 271 nt
Filed under: uncultured bacterium
Lineage: Bacteria
Description: partial 16S ribosomal RNA
Rfam family: Bacterial small subunit ribosomal RNA
Source: RNAcentral